GAUGAAGAACGCAGCGAAAUGCGAUAAGUAGUGUGAAUUGCAGAAUUCAGUGAAUCAUCGAAUCUUUGAACGCACAUUGCGCCUCUUGGUAAUCCAUGGGGCAUGCCUGUUCGAGCGUCAUUUGUACCUUCAAGCUUUGCUUGGUGUUGGGUGUUUGUCUCGCCUUUGCGUGUAGACUCGCCUUAAAAUAAUUGGCAGCCGGCGUAUUGAUUUCGGAGCGCAGUACAUCUCGCGCUUUGCACUCAUAACGACAGCGUCCAAAAGUACAUUUUACACUCUUGACCUCGGAUCAGGUAGGGAUACCCGCUGAACUUAAGCAUAUCAAUAAGCGGAGGA
Molecule: unclassified non-coding RNA, 336 nt
Filed under: soil metagenome
Description: partial contains 5.8S ribosomal RNA, internal transcribed spacer 2, and large subunit ribosomal RNA
Rfam family: 5.8S ribosomal RNA (bases 1-120)
Source: RNAcentral